This is a long non-coding RNA of Dicentrarchus labrax (European seabass), 5067 nucleotides long. RefSeq lists it as uncharacterized. The record is from RefSeq and is a predicted model, not a curated record. The transcript has 3 exons. Lineage: Eukaryota; Metazoa; Chordata; Actinopteri; Moronidae.
AAGCCACAACAGACACAAGGUCAUGGUUCAGAGUCAUACUGUGUAUUUUUCCUCUCUCUGCUUUAAAAGACAGCCCCCCGUGUUCUCACCUCCCCGGUUUAUGACCCUCUGUGGCCCGAAGGGAUCCUGCAGAGGAUGACAAGGAGCGAGCAGCACUUGCCCACCCAUUUGUCAUGUUUUUCCCAGUGUCUGUGCUGCUGCAACUUUCGCUGAAUGAGAGGAGCAGUGAGGACUACUUUACCCUUUCUCCGUCACGCUCAGCACUCAGUUCAGUGCAGUUAAAACACGUGGCGGUGACCGGAGGCAGAUUGUGACUUAGGACUGAGCUUGCUCCCGCCACACUGGAUGAGUGCUUAAUUAUCCUGAUCAGGGCUGAUUUUGUGAAAUGAGCACAGUGCAUGAUAGGACUCUCAACAGCAAGCUAAACAGAGGAGCACAUUUGGACAAAUGGAAAUAGCUUGGUGGAGAGGUAAACAAAUCAAUAAAUAUGAGACAAUCAAUAAGGCACUAUGACUCCACUUCAGUGUUAGUGGCUGUGAUGACUGACAUCUCCUGGUCAGCUCAGAAGAAAGAAAAUGAAUCUCUCAGCUCAACAGAUGGACUAAAAGCUUACUGACACAUCCCUGAACUUUCCCACAGGAGCUUCUUGCAUCACGUUUUUAAGUAUCUGUUUUACCCAUUAAAAUUCAAGUCUAUGCAUGUUUCUUAAACAUGCGUAGAUGAUGAUGAUGAUGAUGACCUUAAAGAAUUGUGUAAUAUUCCCAUUCAGCGCAAGAUGGGAAAAUCCUCCACUGCUGCAAUUUACUGAAGCUUUGCUGAGACUCUGAGUGUACACGCUUACAGUAAUUCAUCAAACACUUAUGAAGGGAGGAGCCCAUAAUAACAUGAAAAGAGAUUUCUUUCAGGCCAAGAUUUUACGUAGCUGAUUGCUCAAAGGGGCUAACUUGUGUUUCUUUGUGCAUUUAAAAAAAAUCAUUAAAUUAAAUGUCUUCUCUUUCUGUCACAUAAACAAUGUGUAAUGCAUUAGGAAGAGAAUUUACAACCACAUUCACAGACUCAUAAUACUCACCUUAGAUCUCUCAAAAAGCAUAUAUAUUAAGCUUGAAUCUACUUGUGAAUGAAGAAUUUAUCUACACAAAGACAAGUAUACAGAAAAUAUCUGUGGAUCUGCCGGAAAGCUUAUUAAAGCAACAAUCUAAUCAGACCCAGGAGACGUCAGCUUUGCUUCUGCAGCUUGCCUAUCACCUAGUUUAUUAGUGCACAGUUCUGCGACCACAUGUUACAGCUGUGUUCCUGCCUCUCCCAGUGGCAAAAUAACAAGCAAUGUCCCAGUUCACGCUAGAUGCAUUGCAUAAGGCAAUUUGUGUAUGACAAUCGCAGUUUCUUUGGCGCCCAGUAAUGCUGCUUGACGGCCAGCCAGCCAGUGUAAAGGCACCACUAAAGGACUAUUGCAGGCUUUCCAAUUUCAAUGGGAUGUAGACUUGAUUAAGAAAGAAAGGGAUUUGCAUAAUUUGGUACAAUGGUGUGCUUUAUAUAUGUAGAAGUUCUGGAAUACACAGAGGGGUUCUUAGAUAAUAAUGAGCUUAGCCUAAAGACGUUUUUGAAAUCUGAACAGGGAUGAAUAUUGACAUUAGCUAAUGCUCUGCUGGCCAGGAAUACAUGAGGUAAUAAAUGCAUUGUUUUCCUGUAGGUAUUGAUUUGAAUAGAGAGACAAUUCAAUUUAGAGUUCAUGGAUCAAUUGUUAAAGCAUUUCAGUAUAAAAACAGCUAAAUAACAGAUGGCUGUGCAAUCCUGUUUGGAGAGUUGAAGUAAUUUGAGUUUUAUGUAUUUUAGAAGAAAAUUUACAAUUGAAAACUAAAUGACAAAUAAGAGAGUUCUAUAUGAUAACACAUUAACACAUAAGGGAAAAGUGCAAGCAGGUACAGAUAAGGUUCAGGUAUAGGUCAAGGGAACAGGGUACAUGAUGGGUAAAGGGUACAGGGUACAGAUGACUGGAAAGCAAGGGAACAAAGCAAUCAUGACAAUCUGGCAACUGACUGGGGAAAAGGGGCUGGUAGAGGGAAAGUGGGAACAAGUGAUGGGAAUGGUGGGAAAGGGGUUACUGCAGGGCAGGAGGGAGUGGCUGGAUGUGAUAGUCAGGUGACUGGGAUAGGUGGAAAAGUCUGAGGGCAUCUCGUGGACAGGUAGAGAAUGGCGGCAAUGUGGCUAGAGGAAUGUCAUAUUAUAUACAUACAUAAAUGUAUAAUCUUGAUGAAAGGAUGAACCAAUAAAGUCAAAUUGGAGGAAUAAAGAAAUUCUACUGCUGGUAAAUUAGAGAAAGGAAAUAAUGGAAAUGUAAUAGUACCACACAAGUGCAGACCAUAAAGAUUCAUGACAAACAAAAUCAAUGUAAGCUUGUUCUUUUUUGAUAAAUGAAGGAAAAAAAACAGCAGUGUCAAAUGCUAUAGUAUAUAAUAGUAGCCUUAAUCGUCAUGACCAAUGAUAUUCUGCACAAUCACUCCAAAACAUGUAUCAGAAGGUGUUUGUUUACCUAUGUGUCUGUGGUGCAGCCAUGUAGGAUUUACUCUGAGACAACAUAAAAGACCUCUGGAGCUCUUCAACAGACUGUAUGAAAUUGAAAAAUAGAUUUGAUUCUCUGUUUAAGCAGCAAUAAAAGUGACCUAUUUUCACUUCAUCCUUCACAUAAGUCUAAGGUUUUACUCCCCAAAUCAGUAAUUUAUAAGAGACUGCAUUUGAAUUGUAUCUGAAAACAGUGCCAGUUCUUUGUACUCUGAAACAAAAUGGGAUGCAGACCUUUCCCUUUUCAACUGAUUCUAUUCAAGAACAGGUUUUUCUAAAAAAGGCCUUUGAUUUAAUUAAAUCUUGCCUUGCAUGGGGCACAGCUGUAGGCUCCUCUGCUUUGGGCUGGAAGAGCUUGGGAGUCGCCUGAAUCCAUCCAUCUUCAUCCUUGUCAAUUAUGCCGUUAGCGGGCUGCACAUCUUCAUUUCCAAUGUGGGCACUGUCUCAAAGUACUUCCCAAAGUCACCGUAAUCCAAUUAUAUUCUGGCAUUCACUAUGAUACAGCCCAUUAGAAAAGGCUUAAUCAAUGUGAGGUCUUCAUUAAAGCAAUUUAUGAAUAUUCAUCAUGACACUCAAUUCGAUACUUUAUGGGAACUUGAAUCAGACCAUUUCCCCCCAUGGCGCCAUAACAUAACCUGGCUAUAGCUUUAAUGGUAGCUCUUUAAGUAGAGGGGUAAUAUUCUGUAUUAGUUAGGUAAUAUGAAGCUCUCUCCACUUAAAACACUAUUUAAUCCACUGAUGAUGCUUUACAGCCAGGCCAAACACAAAAGGAUUUUUUUUUUUUGUAUUAGAGAGGUGUAUGUAGAGCUUUUGACUCUUGGAUGGUCCCACUUAGGUGUUUCCACAUUUAUUCUUCCGGGCACUGUGCAUAAAUAGCUAAUUGCUCUGCAACCCUCAAAUUGGUUCUCUCAACAGAGAAUAACAAACAGCCAAUAACUCAUUUGGGGCUAAGUAUCCAUUACAAGUGCUUCCCCCUUUAUCUCCAAGGAGACCACACACACACAGACACACACACACAGCAACCUACUAUACUGAGUCUCCAUUUCAGAAGCUGCAGCUGAUUUUCAUACCACUGGCAUUACUAAUGUAUUACAAAAAUCCCACAUAUGGCAGGCCACCCUGAUAAAUGGUGAAUUAUGAAUUGGGUCGUUUCAUAGAAUGCAUUAGAUCCAGCAGGAUUCGACUAAGUUUAUCAUCAUAUUACAGGAAUAGUUCAAUAUUCUGGGAAAUAAGCUUAUAGCAUGCGGAAGUGCUGAUAUUGAGUCUGGGCCUCUGUUCCACUGGCUUACUCAACUCAUUCAGCAUUUCUUUCAUUGGUGUUUAUGAAAAAAUUAAAUGUGUUCCUAAAAUGUACUUUGCACAUUUGCAUCCAUACAGCAUUUGCUGUAAGAGGACAACUAUAUACUCUGUGAGCCUGACAAAAUAACUACAGCUCCCAUGGAAAUUUACCAAUGAAAUGGAAAUAUACUAUAUCCAGAAUAUUUACCAUCUGUCUCUUCUAAAGAUUUUUUUCCAACUUUGUAGCUGUAAUCUUCUCUGUCUAUAAACACAGUCCAGUCUCUCUUUUUUGCUGUUAUUAUGGACAUGUCUCAGUUAAUCGCAGCCCCUUGACCCGCCCACGGACUCACCUAUUCUGUUGACCCGUGACAUUUAACCCCUUCUAGGGCUUUUGGGAAAUGGUGGUCGUUAAAGGCUGAUAAAAACAGAACUAUUGACUUGAUUGCUUUUCUAAAAAUCCCAUCUCUUAUCUAGACAUAAGAGGAGUGAACAUUAACAAUGAGUAAUGAGUAAUUUUAUGUCCCAUGGUGGAUUUUUAGUUUGCUUUCUUUUCAAAAGUUAGAGGAGAAGAUCACGCUCAUGUCUGUCCGUUGAAUGAAGAUGGAGGUAAGAGACAAUUAGCUUAGCAUAAAGAAUGGGGUGUAAAAUAGAUAAAAUUAUCCAAGGGUAAAGAAGAUCCACCCACUAACACAUCUAAGGCUCACUGACUAAGACAGUUUAUCUUGUUUGUUGUGUCUGUACAAAAGAACAAGGAGCUGUGGUUUUAGUGGGGUUAUGUGUGGGACUAUUUCUUGGCAGUGACUUCCUGGAGUUCCCGCUUGUUGCCUGGCAGCUUCACUGUGAUGAAGUGAUGAAGUGCAUUGUGCCCGGUCAUUUUUUAACUUCAAUUUUUUUUUUUUUUUUUAAAAAAAAAAGAUGAGGUUCUGGUAUGUGGAUUUUUUUUUACUCUAGGGAAGAGUCAGGCUAGCUGUUUCCCUCUGUUUCCAGUCUUUAUGCUAUGCUUAAGCUAAGCAGAUCAGUUGCUGGCUGUAGUACAGAUAUGAGAAUGGUAUCGAUUUAAAAGAAAUUAUAAUAAAAUAAAAAAAAGUGUUCUUUCAUGCACCACUGUUCAAAGAUUCUUUAUUCUUGAUAUGAAAAUUGAUACAAACAAUGUUAAAUGAUCUGGUGUAUGAAAACAAGUUGUAAAUUAGGCUGCUUGAAAUAGUUUGUGUUCAUUGGACAGUGCCCCGA